Molecule: ribosomal RNA, 253 nt
Filed under: uncultured bacterium
Lineage: Bacteria
Description: partial 16S ribosomal RNA
Rfam family: Bacterial small subunit ribosomal RNA
Source: RNAcentral
UACGUAGGUGGCAAGCGUUGUCCGGAAUUAUUGGGCGUAAAGAGCUCGUAGGCGGUCUGUUGCGUCCGCUGUGAAAACCCGGGGCUUAACCCUGGGCUGGCAGUGGAUACGGACAGACUAGAGGUAGGUAGGGGAGAAUGGAAUUCCCGGUGUAGCGGUGAAAUGCGCAGAUAUCGGGAGGAACACCGGUGGCGAAGGCGGUUCUCUGGGCCUUACCUGACGCUGAGGGGCGAAGGCCAGGGGAGCAAACGGG